RNAcentral lists this microRNA precursor (59 nucleotides) under Monodelphis domestica (gray short-tailed opossum). Its description in RNAcentral is "Mdo-Mir-23-P3_pre stem-loop". It matches the Rfam family "mir-23 microRNA precursor family", at positions 8 to 67 of the family's 73-position model. The record is from RNAcentral. Lineage: Eukaryota; Metazoa; Chordata; Mammalia; Didelphimorphia; Didelphidae.
GGGGUUCCUGGGGAUGGGAUUUGAUUACUGCCACAAAUCACAUUGCCAGGGAUUUCCAA